CAUGUCAUCACUUCAUUUUUUUGCGCCUGCGCAUAAAUCUGAGAAACGUGAGUUUGUCAUAAUUUUUUAUCUAGACAUAGGAUAGGUUGUGUGAAAAUAUUACUGAUGUUUAACGUUAAAAAUGGACCAAAAGAUUAAUGCUAAACAACAUUUGACAUGUUUGAACGAACAUAAAUAGAUUAUUUACUAGGUUUUUUUAUCUUUUCGGCGUGAUUUUACCAGCCCCCACCACGUUUUGUGGGAGCAUAAUGAACGCUAAGUACUUGGUGUUAUUUGGACAUAAAUUAUGAACUUUGUCAAAAGAAACCACAUUUGUUCCGGACCUGGAAUGCCUUCCGGACCUGGGAUCCUGCCCUCUGAUGGAGAUAAUCAAAGACAAGGGGAUCAGACUCCCUCCCUAGGACAACCAAGUCCUGCCUCAUCUGUUGGUGUCGCCCAUCUGCCAGUUCGUCUUGUUUGUUUAAGUCAACCAGCGUUUUGUCUCAGCUCCUGCUUUUCCCCAGUUUCUCUUUUUGUCGUCCUCCUGGUUUUGACCUCUGCCUGACCUGACCCUGGGCCUGCCUGCCGUCCUGUACCUUGGCCCCACUACUCUGGAUUAUCG
This 601-nucleotide long non-coding RNA is filed under the name Salmo salar (Atlantic salmon). RNAcentral's name for it is "lncRNA (ENSSSAG00000116768.1)". The record is from RNAcentral. Lineage: Eukaryota; Metazoa; Chordata; Actinopteri; Salmoniformes; Salmonidae.